GCGGCUACUGCUAUCAGGUUUCGACUAAGCCAUGCGAGUCAAGGGGUCGUAAGACACCGGCGUACUGCUCAGUAACACGCGGACAAUCUACCCCCAGGUGGAGGAUAACCUCGGGAAACUGAGGCUAAUACCCCAUAGUUGUCAUGUGCUGGAAUGCUUUGACGAUGAAAGAAUUUCGCCUGAGGAUGAGUCUGCGGCCUAUCAGGUAGUAUGUGGUGUAAAGGACCACAUAGCCUAAGACGGGUACGGGCCUUGAAAGAGGGAGCCCGGAGAUGGACUCUGAGACACUAGUCCAGGCCCUACGGGGCGCAGCAGGCGCGAAAACUGUGCAAUGCGCGCAAGCGCGACACGGGAAGCCUGAGUGCCUUAACUAUGUUAAGGCUUUUCUUGAUCCUAAAAAGCUCAAGGAAUAAGAGCUGGGUAAGACGGGUGCCAGCCGCCGCGGUAACACCCGCGGCUCGAGUGGUAGUCACUUUUAUUGAGCCUAAAGCGUUUGUAGCCGGAUUUGUAAAUCUCUAGGAAAAUACUUCUGCUUAACUGAAGAAAUUUUGGAGAGACUGCAAAUCUAGGGACCGGGUGAGGUUGAAUGUACUUCUGGGGUAGGGGUAAAAUCCUGUAAUCCUGGAAGGACGACCGGUGGCGAAGGCGUUCAACUAGAACGGAUCCGACGGUGAGGAACGAAGGCUAGGGGAGCAAACCGGAUUAGAUACCCGGGUAGUCCUAGCUGUAAACACUGCCCACUUGGUGUUGCAUCUCCGGUAAGGGGGUGCAGUGCCGUAGCGAAGGUGUUAAGUGGGCCGCUUGGGGAGUAUGGUCGCAAGGCUGAAACUUAA
Molecule: ribosomal RNA, 833 nt
Filed under: archaeon enrichment culture
Lineage: Archaea
Description: bacterial SSU rRNA
Rfam family: Archaeal small subunit ribosomal RNA
Source: RNAcentral